Molecule: transfer RNA, 74 nt
Filed under: Marsilea mutica
Lineage: Eukaryota; Viridiplantae; Streptophyta; Polypodiopsida; Salviniales; Marsileaceae
Also listed under: 1 other name
Description: tRNA-Arg
Rfam family: tRNA
About the family: Transfer RNA (tRNA) molecules are approximately 80 nucleotides in length. Their secondary structure includes four short double-helical elements and three loops (D, anti-codon, and T loops). Further hydrogen bonds mediate the characteristic L-shaped molecular structure. tRNAs have two regions of fundamental functional importance: the anti-codon, which is responsible for specific mRNA codon recognition, and the 3' end, to which the tRNAs corresponding amino acid is attached (by aminoacyl-tRNA synthetases). tRNAs cope with the degeneracy of the genetic code in two manners: having more than one tRNA (with a specific anti-codon) for a particular amino acid; and 'wobble' base-pairing, i.e. permitting non-standard base-pairing at the 3rd anti-codon position.
Source: RNAcentral
GGGCUUGUAGCUCAGUGGAUUAGAGCACGUGGCUACGAACCACGGUGUCGGGGGUUCGAAUCCCUCCCUGCCCA